AGGACAUUCUUCAUAUUUCUACAGUACGAAAGAGAAGCAGCACAGCCAGGCCACAUCCAACACUGCCAAGAGAUGCAGAUGGUGGCAAUGCAGGUUCUUCUUCUGCAAACCCCCCUCCACUAAAGCGCCCAUCACAGGGCUCGGUUAGUGUGGCUAGUAGGCCAACCAAGAGACGCCGGCUUGAGGAUGAAUCUACAGCACCAGCAUCACCACCCCAAUGGCGCAUCUCCGCAGUGUCGGCCCUGCCACCAUUAGCUCUUUUGGCCAGCCCACAAAGUAAGGAUCCACAAUCACCUCAGUUGUCUGACCCAGCCAUCAUCACCGAGGAUGUCCAGCAGGAAAGUGACCAGCAGGAUACUUUCACACUACACCUGCAGGCCAUCGAUCCUACCCAGCCAACCACGACGCAGGACAUACCCCAACCACCCCAAACAUCCCACAGCCCCCAAUUGAGCACAACACCACCCUAGACACAUGGGUCCUGAGUUUUGGAGACAUUGGGCCACACAACAGGAGCAAAGCUAUGCGUACCUCAACACCCACAGCCCCAUCAUCUGCCUAGACUGAGUCGCAACUCAGGCAGACUUAUAGUGCAGGUGGGCAGAAUUGCCAACUCAAUGGAGCAGAUGAGGGCAGACAACAGCCAAAUGCAAGCAAACCUCCAACGCAUCAUGGAUGAACAACAGCGGCAGCACCAAUCCCUAAUCCAGCUAAUACAACACAACCAAAUUAUCAACGACAACCUCUCAAGAAUAAUAGCAAGCAACACUGCCGCUAAUACGCAACUCACUGCAAGCUUAAACAUACUUGGUCAAAGCCUUAAUGUGUUGGCAUCACACCAAGUCAGCUCUAGCUCGGGGACAACUACACCAAGCCAGACCCCAGUUCAAUCCCCAGUUAGACGCUCAAGUCGAACCCGGACCAACGAGCCAGCCCAAUCCUCGGCACCCAGCACACACAAAAAAAAAAAAAU
Long non-coding RNA from Pseudophryne corroboree (corroboree frog), 973 nucleotides. RefSeq lists it as uncharacterized. The record is from RefSeq and is a predicted model, not a curated record. The transcript is spliced from 3 exons. Lineage: Eukaryota; Metazoa; Chordata; Amphibia; Anura; Myobatrachidae.